AUACCCCAUGAUGCUCAGGUCCGCCGCAUCUCCUGGGUCGUGGGGUCGGUCGGCUGGUAUGCAACAUCAGCGGUUCCUCGUGCCGCGUUGCCUGCCGGUCGACCCCCUU
Molecule: non-coding RNA, 109 nt
Organism: Rhizobium sp. Root708
Lineage: Bacteria; Pseudomonadati; Pseudomonadota; Alphaproteobacteria; Hyphomicrobiales; Rhizobiaceae
Source: Rfam